AACGCAACUGGCGCCGGUUUACCGGCAUGCCUGUUUCAGUGUGCUAGGAGAGUAAACUAUCAUUAUAAAAUAUAAUGCGAUUGAGGUACAUUUAUGUUCUUCUUUCGUUAAAUAUGAAGGUGUGAAAGAUGAGUACUCUCUCACACUGGCAAACGAAGUAGUCAUGCUUGUUCGCGAUCUCGUUUAACUAGUGCUAAAUGAGAUGACUUAGAUAUAAAUCACAUCUAAGCAAGUGAAUAUCUCCAAAAUUGGCAUCUGAAAUCAGACAAGGAGACCCGCUGAA
This 283-nucleotide unclassified non-coding RNA is filed under the name uncultured fungus. RNAcentral describes it as "partial contains 5.8S rRNA and ITS2". Lineage: Eukaryota; Fungi. The record is from RNAcentral.